Molecule: ribosomal RNA, 292 nt
Filed under: uncultured bacterium
Lineage: Bacteria
Description: partial 16S ribosomal RNA
Rfam family: Bacterial small subunit ribosomal RNA
Source: RNAcentral
GUGCCAGCCGCCGCGGUAAGACAGAGGGGGCAAGCGUUGUCCGGAUUUACUGGGCGUACAGCGCGCGCAGGUGGUCGGCUAUGUGCCGUGUGACAAGCGGAGGCUCAACCUCCGAGGGCCACGGUAGACAGGCGGACUAGAGGCAGGGAGAGGGUCGUGGAAUACCCGGUGGAGCGGUGAAAUGCGUAGAGAUCGGGUGGAACACCAGCGGCGAAGGCGGCGACCUGGCCCUGAACUGACACUGAGGCGCGAGAGCGUGGGGAGCAAACAGGAUUAGAUACCCGCGUAGUCC